This 504-nucleotide ribosomal RNA is filed under the name uncultured bacterium. RNAcentral's name for it is "partial 16S ribosomal RNA". It matches the Rfam family "Bacterial small subunit ribosomal RNA", at positions 30 to 523 of the family's 1533-position model. The record is from RNAcentral.
AUUGAACGCUGGCGGCAUGCUUAACCCAUGCAAGUCGAACGGUAACAGGCCUAGCUUGCUAGGUGCUGACGAGUGGCGGACGGGUGAGUAACGCGUGGGAAUCUGCCUUAUUGUGGGGGACAACCCGAGGAAACUCGGGCUAAUACCGCAUAUUGCCUUUGGGUGAAAGCGGGGGAUCUUCGGACCUCGCGCAAUAAGAUGAGCCUGCGUCGGAUUAGCUUGUUGGCGGGGUAAUGGCCCACCAAGGCAAUGAUCCGUAGCUGGUCUGAGAGGACGACCAGCCACACUGGGACUGAGACACGGCCCAGACUCCUACGGGAGGCAGCAGUGGGGAAUAUUGGACAAUGGGCGCAAGCCUGAUCCAGCAAUGCCGCGUGUGUGAAGAAGGCCUUCGGGUUGUAAAGCACUUUUGUUGGGAAAGAAAUAUCCUGGGCUAAUAUCCCAGGAGGAUGACGUUACCCAAAGAAAAAGCACCGGCUAACUCUGUGCCAGCCGCCGCCGUAA